RNAcentral lists this ribosomal RNA (301 nucleotides) under uncultured bacterium. RNAcentral's name for it is "partial 16S ribosomal RNA". It matches the Rfam family "Bacterial small subunit ribosomal RNA", at positions 509 to 807 of the family's 1533-position model. The record is from RNAcentral.
CAGCAGCCGCGGUAAAACGAAGGGUGCAAGCGUUAAUCGGAAUGAUUGGGUGUAAAGGGUGUGCGGACGGCUUAUUAAGUCACUUGUUAAAUUCUUCGGCCUAACUGAAGGUCUGCAAGUGAUACUGGCUCGCUAGAGUGUGUCAGAGGAUGGUGGAAUUCCCGGUGUAGCGGUGAAAUGCGUAGAGACCGGGAGGAACAUCAGUGGCGAAGGCGGCCAUCUGGGACAACACUGACGCUGAGGCACGAAAGCGUGGGGAGCGAACAGGAUUAGAUACCCCUGUAGUCCCUGUCUCUUAUAC